This 73-nucleotide transfer RNA is filed under the name Ailuropoda melanoleuca (giant panda). It matches the Rfam family "tRNA". Rfam says of the family: Transfer RNA (tRNA) molecules are approximately 80 nucleotides in length. Lineage: Eukaryota; Metazoa; Chordata; Mammalia; Carnivora; Ursidae. The record is from Rfam by way of RNAcentral.
GCCUGACUGGCUCAGCUGGUAGAGCAUGUGACUCUAAAUCUCAGGAUCCUGAGUUCAAGCCCCACAUCGGGCA